GACGAACGCUGGCGGCGUGCUUAACACAUGCAAGUCGAACGGAAAGGCCCUGCUUUUGUGGGGUGCUCGAGUGGCGAACGGGUGAGUAACACGUGAGUAACCUGCCCUUGACUUUGGGAUAACUUCAGGAAACUGGGGCUAAUACCGGAUAGGAGCUCCUGCUGCAUGGUGGGGGUUGGAAAGUUUCGGCGGUUGGGGAUGGACUCGCGGCUUAUCAGCUUGUUGGUGGGGUAGUGGCUUACCAAGGCUUUGGCGGGUAGCCGGCCUGGGAGGGUGACCGGCCACAUUGGGACUGAGAGACGGCCCAGACUCCUACGGGAGGCAGCAGUGGGGAAUAUUGCACAAUGGGCGGAAGCCUGAUGCAGCAACGCCGCGUGCGGGAUGACGGCCUUCGGGUUGUAAACCGCUUUCGCCUGUGACGAAGCGUGAGUGACGGUAAUGGGUAAAGAAGCACCGGCUAACUACGUG
This 468-nucleotide ribosomal RNA is filed under the name uncultured bacterium. RNAcentral's name for it is "partial 16S ribosomal RNA". It matches the Rfam family "Bacterial small subunit ribosomal RNA", at positions 28 to 507 of the family's 1533-position model. The record is from RNAcentral.